GAUGAACGCUGGCGGCGUGCCUAAUACAUGCAAGUCGAGCGAACAGACGAGGAGCUUGCUCCUCUGACGUUAGCGGCGGACGGGUGAGUAACACGUGGAUAACCUACCUAUAAGACUGGGAUAACUUCGGGAAACCGGAGCUAAUACCGGAUAAUAUAUUGAACCGCAUGGUUCAAUAGUGAAAGACGGUUUUGCUGUCACUUAUAGAUGGAUCCGCGCCGCAUUAGCUAGUUGGUAAGGUAACGGCUUACCAAGGCGACGAUGCGUAGCCGACCUGAGAGGGUGAUCGGCCACACUGGAACGGAGACACGGUCCAGACGCCUAAGGGAGGCAGCAGUAGGGAAUCUUCCGCAAUGGGCGAAAGCUUGACGGAGCAACGCCGCGUGAGUGAUGAAGGUCUUCGGAUCGUAAAACUCUGUUAUUAGGGAAGAACAAAUGUGUAAGUAACUAUGCACGUCUUGACGGUACCUAAUCAGAAAGCCACGGCUAACUACGUG
Molecule: ribosomal RNA, 497 nt
Filed under: uncultured bacterium
Lineage: Bacteria
Description: partial 16S ribosomal RNA
Rfam family: Bacterial small subunit ribosomal RNA
Source: RNAcentral